GAUGAACGCUAGCUACAGGCUUAACACAUGCAAGUCGAGGGGCAGCAUGAAAUCAGCUUGCUGAUUUUGAUGGCGACCGGCGCACGGGUGAGUAACGCGUAUCCAACCUUCCCCUUACUCAGGAAUAGCCCGUUGAAAGACGGAUUAAUGCCUGAUGUUCUCAUGUUGCCGCAUGGCGAUAUGAGCAAAGAUUCAUCGGUAAGGGAUGGGGAUGCGUAUGAUUAGCUUGUUGGUGGGGUAACGGCCCACCAAGGCGACGAUCAGUAGCCGACCUGAGAGGGUGACCGGCCACAUUGGGACUGAGAUACGGCCCAGACUCCUACGGGAGGCAGCAGUGGGGAAUAUUGGGCAAUGGGGGAAACCCUGACCCAGCAACGCCGCGUGAAGGAAGAAGGCCUUCGGGUUGUAAACUUCUUUUACCAGGGACGAAGAACGUGACGGUACCUGGAGAAAAAGCAACGGCUAACUACGUG
Molecule: ribosomal RNA, 473 nt
Filed under: uncultured bacterium
Lineage: Bacteria
Description: bacterial SSU rRNA
Rfam family: Bacterial small subunit ribosomal RNA
Source: RNAcentral